CUACGUAGGUGACAAGCGUUAUCCGGAUUUACUGGGCGUAAAGGGCGUGUAGGCGGUCUUGCAAGUCAGAAGUGAAAUUCCUGAGCUCAACUCGGGCGCUGCUUCUGAAACUGCAGGACUUGAGUGCUGGAGGGGAUAGCGGAAUUCCUAGUGGAGCGGUAAAAUGCGCAGAUAUUAGGAAGAACACCGGUGGCGAAGGCGGCUAUCUGGACAGUAACUGACGCUGAGGCGCGAAAGCGUGGGGAGCAAACAGGAUUAGAUCCCCUGGUAGUCCACGCCGUAAACGAUGAAUACUAGGUGUAGGGGGUAUCGACUCCCUCUGUGCCGCAGUUAACACAAUAAGUAGUCCGCCUGGGGAGUACGGCCGCAAGGUUGAAACUCAAAUGAAUUGACGGGG
This 397-nucleotide ribosomal RNA is filed under the name uncultured bacterium. RNAcentral's name for it is "partial 16S ribosomal RNA". It matches the Rfam family "Bacterial small subunit ribosomal RNA", at positions 523 to 918 of the family's 1533-position model. The record is from RNAcentral.